RNAcentral lists this ribosomal RNA (403 nucleotides) under uncultured bacterium. RNAcentral's name for it is "partial 16S ribosomal RNA". It matches the Rfam family "Bacterial small subunit ribosomal RNA", at positions 30 to 526 of the family's 1533-position model. The record is from RNAcentral.
AUUGAACGCUGGCGGCAGGCCUAACACAUGCAAGUCGAGCUAUCGGCGGACGGGUGAGUAAUGUCUGGGGACUGCCCGAUAGAGGGGGAUAACUCCUGGAAACGGUAGCUAAUACCGCAUACUAUCGGAUAACCCAUAUGGGAUUAGCUAGUAGGUGGGGUAAUGGCUCACCUAGGCGACGAUCCCUAGCUGGUCUGAGAGGAUGAUCAGCCACACUGGGACUGAGACACGGCCCAGACUCCUACGGAGGCAGCAGUGGGGAAUAUUGAACAAUGGGCGCAAGCCUGAUACAGCCAUGCCGCGUGUAUGAAGAAGGCCAUAGGGUUGUAAAGUACUUUCAGUCGGGAGGCGUUACCGACAGAAGAAGCACCGGCUAACUCCGUGCCAGCAGCCGCGGUAAUUC